This 613-nucleotide ribosomal RNA is filed under the name uncultured bacterium. Its description in RNAcentral is "bacterial SSU rRNA". It matches the Rfam family "Bacterial small subunit ribosomal RNA", at positions 338 to 946 of the family's 1533-position model. The record is from RNAcentral.
CCUACGGGAGGCAGCAGUGGGGAAUUUUGGACAAUGGACGCAAGUCUGAUCCAGCCAUGCCGCGUGCGGGAAGAAGGCCUUCGGGUUGUAAACCGCUUUUGUCAGGGAAGAAAAGGUUCUGGUUAAUACCUGGGACCCAUGACGGUACCUGAAGAAUAAGCACCGGCUAACUACGUGCCAGCAGCCGCGGUAAUACGUAGGGUGCAAGCGUUAAUCGGAAUUACUGGGCGUAAAGCGUGCGCAGGCGGUUAUGCAAGACAGAUGUGAAAUCCCCGGGCUCAACCUGGGAACUGCAUUUGUGACUGCAUAGCUAGAGUACGGUAGAGGGGGAUGGAAUUCCGCGUGUAGCAGUGAAAUGCGUAGAUAUGCGGAGGAACACCGAUGGCGAAGGCAAUCCCCUGGACCUGUACUGACGCUCAUGCACGAAAGCGUGGGGAGCAAACAGGAUUAGAUACCCUGGUAGUCCACGCCCUAAACGAUGUCAACUGGUUGUUGGGAGGGUUUCUUCUCAGUAACGAAGCUAACGCGUGAAGUUGACCGCCUGGGGAGUACGGCCGCAAGGUUGAAACUUAAUGAAUUGNGNGNGNGNGNGCGAGACGACGACGAGGAGAGG